This is a non-coding RNA of Pantherophis guttatus, 558 nucleotides long. Lineage: Eukaryota; Metazoa; Chordata; Lepidosauria; Squamata; Colubridae. The record is from RefSeq and is a predicted model, not a curated record.
UCCUGAGGCGUGUUCGCUGCUUAGCUGAUUUUGAUUGAAAUCUGGACGGCAGCAAAAGGGGUCAGAGAAAUAGAAGUGCGGGUGGAUUGGGCGGAAGUGAAAAGGGGAAACAUAGCCACUCGUGUUAGGACAAUUUUGUGCAUCAUCUAAGUGGCCUAGAAGGUCAGCCGUAUUCGUUUUUGCAGGAGAACCACCGAGGCUCGUGAUACUCUAGUGACUUGCUGUUAACAUGCAAGAAGAGUAUUAAUUAUGGGAAGGAAAUAAUGGCAUCACAUCUUCGGCAUAUUAAGAUAUAGGGCUAUUUCGAGGAAGCCUGCCUUGAGUUUCAGACGAGUGGACAAGGUGGUAAAGGCAUCAGGACCUUUUCCAGUUGCAGAAGAAACAAAGUAAGGAAUAGCAUCUGAUUGCUUUUUCAUAAAUUGAGAUACUACAAAGAUGAGCAAUAUAGUUAUCUUAAUUUUGUUUGGGAGCUCUGGAUGCAGCAAAAUGUCGAAAUCCCCAGACUACAAUUUCUACAACAAAAAGGCAAUCAAAAGCAAAGGAGAACAGACUCACCUC